UAGCUCACUAGUCGAGUGACACUGCGCCGAAAAUGUACCGGGGCUAAACAUAUUACCGAAGCUGUGGAUUGUCCUUUGGACAAUGGUAGGAGAGCGUUCUAAGGGCGUUGAAGCAUGAUCGUAAGGACAUGUGGAGCGCUUAGAAGUGAGAAUGCCGGUGUGAGUAGCGAAAGACGGGUGAGAAUCCCGUCCACCGAUUGACUAAGGUUUCCAGAGGAAGGCUCGUCCGCUCUGGGUUAGUCGGGUCCUAAGCUGAGGCCGACAGGCGUAGGCGAUGGAUAACAGGUUGAUAUUCCUGUACCACCUAUAAUCGUUUUAAUCGAUGGGGGGACGCAGUAGGAUAGGCGAAGCGUGCGAUUGGAUUGCACGUCUAAGCAGUAAGGCUGAGUAUUAGGCAAAUCCGGUACUCGUUAAGGCUGAGC
This 422-nucleotide ribosomal RNA is filed under the name Staphylococcus aureus. RNAcentral's name for it is "partial 23S ribosomal RNA". It matches the Rfam family "Bacterial large subunit ribosomal RNA", at positions 1138 to 1561 of the family's 2925-position model. Lineage: Bacteria; Bacillati; Bacillota; Bacilli; Caryophanales; Staphylococcaceae. The record is from RNAcentral.